GUGGGCGGACAAAUGGUUGCUGAGUAGGUAGACCUGCCAGGAUCUAGCUUUGUAGCAGCUAGCAGAAUCUUGCCCUAGAUUAGUAAACUGCCACACACUUUUGGGGGUGUUUCUUUAUGCAAUAGUAAGUGUGAACAUGCUGCCAGGAGCUUGAUGGUCAUAUAUGAUACUGAAGAAGAAU
Non-coding RNA from Sphaerodactylus townsendi, 181 nucleotides. RefSeq annotates it as small Cajal body-specific RNA 16. NCBI's taxonomy places the organism in Eukaryota, Metazoa, Chordata, Lepidosauria, Squamata, Sphaerodactylidae. The record is from RefSeq and is a predicted model, not a curated record. The transcript has a single exon.